GGUAUCCUGAAAUGUUCGAGAACUCUCGUUAUUUUGAACCUACAAAACUUUAAACGGGAUUCCUAUAUUGCUUUGCCUAUGUCAGGCCUCAUCAGCUUUCAGUGGAAGGCAGAAGUAAAGUUGCGGUCGCCCACCUAGCCAUAGCUAGGAGUCAAAAUACGGGAACCGGCAUUUUGGGUGUUAC
Molecule: non-coding RNA, 184 nt
Filed under: Lachnospiraceae bacterium
Lineage: Bacteria; Bacillati; Bacillota; Clostridia; Lachnospirales; Lachnospiraceae
Description: 6S RNA
Rfam family: 6S / SsrS RNA
About the family: E. coli 6S RNA was the first non coding RNA to be sequenced, but its function was unknown until recently. It consists of 184 nucleotides that fold into an extended hairpin structure with a large single-stranded internal bulge.
Source: RNAcentral